This is a small nuclear RNA of Phacochoerus africanus (Common warthog), 105 nucleotides long. The record is from RefSeq and is a predicted model, not a curated record. Lineage: Eukaryota; Metazoa; Chordata; Mammalia; Artiodactyla; Suidae.
GUGCUCGCUUCGGCAGCACAUAUACUAAAAAUUGGAAUGAUACAGAGAUUAGCAUGGCCCCUGCACAAGGAUGACAUGCAAAUUCGUGAAGCAUUCCAUAUGUUA